RNAcentral lists this ribosomal RNA (164 nucleotides) under Camellia hongkongensis. Its description in RNAcentral is "5.8S ribosomal RNA". It matches the Rfam family "5.8S ribosomal RNA". From Rfam's summary of the family: 5.8S ribosomal RNA (5.8S rRNA) is a component of the large subunit of the eukaryotic ribosome. It is transcribed by RNA polymerase I as part of the 45S precursor that also contains 18S and 28S rRNA. The record is from RNAcentral. Lineage: Eukaryota; Viridiplantae; Streptophyta; Magnoliopsida; Ericales; Theaceae.
UAAAUGACUCUUGGCAACGGAUAUCUCGACUCUCGCAUCGAUGAAGAACAUAGCGAAAUGCGAUACUUGGUGUGAAUUGCAGAAUCCCGCAAACCAUCGAGUCUUUGAAUGCAAGUUGCGCUCGAAGCCAUUAGGUUGACGGCACGUCUGCCUGGGCGUCUCAC